RNAcentral lists this ribosomal RNA (431 nucleotides) under uncultured bacterium. Its description in RNAcentral is "bacterial SSU rRNA". It matches the Rfam family "Bacterial small subunit ribosomal RNA", at positions 354 to 796 of the family's 1533-position model. The record is from RNAcentral.
GUCGAGAAUCAUUCACAAUGGGGGAAACCCUGAUGGUGCGACGCCGCGUGGGGGAAUGAAGGUCUUCGGAUUGUAAACCCCUGUCAUGUGGGAGCAAAUUAAAAAGAUAGUACCACAAGAGGAAGAGACGGCUAACUCUGUGCCAGCAGCCGCGGUAAUACAGAGGUCUCAAGCGUUGUUCGGAAUCACUGGGCGUAAAGCGUGCGUAGGCUGUUUCGUAAGUCGUGUGUGAAAGGCGCGGGCUCAACCCGCGGACGGCACAUGAUACUGCGAGACUAGAGUAAUGGAGGGGGAACCGGAAUUCUCGGUGUAGCAGUGAAAUGCGUAGAUAUCGAGAGGAACACUCGUGGCGAAGGCGGGUUCCUGGACAUUAACUGACGCUGAGGCACGAAGGCCAGGGGAGCGAAAGGGAUUAGAUACCCCGGUAGUCC